This 490-nucleotide ribosomal RNA is filed under the name uncultured bacterium. RNAcentral describes it as "partial 16S ribosomal RNA". It matches the Rfam family "Bacterial small subunit ribosomal RNA", at positions 28 to 507 of the family's 1533-position model. The record is from RNAcentral.
GAUGAACGCUAGCUACAGGCUUAACACAUGCAAGUCGCGGGGCAGCAUGGGGGUUGCUUGCAACUCCCGAUGGCGACCGGCGCACGGGUGAGUAACGCGUAUCCAACCUGCCCUUCACCACGGGAUAACCCGGCGAAAGUCGGACUAAUACCGUAUGUUGUCCAUUGACGGCAUCCGAUUUGGACGAAAGGCUUUGCGGUGAAGGAUGGGGAUGCGUCCGAUUAGCCAGACGGCGGGGUAACGGCCCACCGUGGCUACGAUCGGUAGGGGUCCUGAGAGGAAGGUCCCCCACACUGGAACUGAGACACGGUCCAGACUCCUACGGGAGGCAGCAGUGAGGAAUAUUGGUCAAUGGGCGUAAGCCUGAACCAGCCAAGUAGCGUGCAGGAUGACGGCCCUAUGGGUUGUAAACUGCUUUUAUGCGGGGAUAAAGUGGCCCACGUGUGGGCUUUUGCAGGUACCGCAUGAAUAAGGACCGGCUAAUUCCGUG